RNAcentral lists this ribosomal RNA (783 nucleotides) under Triticum aestivum (bread wheat). RNAcentral's name for it is "partial small subunit ribosomal RNA". Lineage: Eukaryota; Viridiplantae; Streptophyta; Magnoliopsida; Poales; Poaceae. The record is from RNAcentral.
AUUGAAGUUUACUCAACAUGUGUGGAUUAUGACACCAUGGACUUCCAAGCACUCUUAGAAGGACCCCAUGAUGAACAUGAUCUGGACAAAUUGUUGAAAGGUGCAUUCAGUCCUACUUAUAUAAAGGAGAUUGAAUGUAAAUUUUAUUCACCAACUAGUGAUCAUGGUAUGACAAUACAAACACUUGCGCUUGCUCCACCGGAGGCAUUGCCUGAGAAAGAGGAGCCCCCUGCCACCACGGCCCUUAACGAAGGAGCAGGAGGGAGAGGAGAAGAUGAGGAGUUGAGAGGGGGAGGAGGGGCCAGGUAUGUGCCACCUUGUCACCGGAGAAGCAUGAGGCUUGCGCCCACCGCCACACCGCCGGAGGAGGGGGGCUGCGAUCUACUGGAUCAGAUGCUAGAAAGUGGUUGGAGGCAUGGGAGUCGCGUGAGAAGUGCACACAAGAGAGGAACAUGGUCGAUUAACACGGAACCAUGCUCUCGGUACAUGCACUCUGCAGGUAGAGGCCAAAAACGUGGGCAGAGAAGAAACAACGACCAUUGGACAUCUCAAGAGGUCAAAGAACUAGUGGAUGGCAUAGCUGUAUAUGGGGUUGGUCACUGGAGUAAGUUGAAGAAUGAAAGGUUUCCAACAUCUGUUCGAGCGGCAGAGCAUCUUAAGGAUAAAUGGAGAAAUUUGUUGAAAGCCUACACGGGAAAUGCAAAAAGAAGGAUCUCGCCUCCUCUGGGUAGGGAUUGCGUUAAAAAGAUCCAGAGGUUAGCAGCUGAUUACCCUAGAAAAUGA